CAAACCAUAGACAAGAAGUGUUUUGUUGGAAGGCUUCACAAAUAUGGAGCUGAUUACUGCUAGGCAGCGCAGAUUUCCUUCUGUAAGAUGGGACUGAUAGAAUUCCUUCCUGACAGCUAGAAAUUAUAAUUGGGCUGGGUGUGGUUUUUUUUCUGUGUUUUAAACUUUACCAGCCUUCAAAAUGAAGAAGAAAGAUGGAAUCCUGACCCAUCUGCACUCAAUGGGAAUUCUGCCUGCGAGCCAGGAUUUCAGUCUAAUAUCCAUCCAGCUGCCCAGGACUGGAGGUGCUGCUAACAGCUUCAGAGCUGUGCUUUUGUCAAGCAUUUAACUCCGUGUGGAUUGAAACAUCUCCCACAGAAAUGUGCGCUAAUUACCUGUAACUCCGAGUGCCACUAAAGAGAUUGCAUUGCACAGUAGCGUGGAGGAGCCUGCCCAAGUGUCUGCCCUGGAGAAUCUGUGAUCACGGGGAAAAUCUUCAGCUUCAGCACACGUGACCCAUUUUCUCCACAUGGAGGUCAUUCUUCUGAUUUCAUCAUCCCUUUUGGAUGGCUGAAGAGAGAAAGGAAGGCGCUAGAUAUAUGUAUUCUGGUUUCUCAC
This is a long non-coding RNA of Gallus gallus (chicken), 597 nucleotides long. NCBI's taxonomy places the organism in Eukaryota, Metazoa, Chordata, Aves, Galliformes, Phasianidae. The record is from Ensembl.